AGUCAUUGGGAAGCAGUUACAGGGAAAUAAACUUUGGUAUCCCUAACAUAAUAUACUUUAUGUAAAUGGGACAUCCUAAUGAUUUUGUGGUUCAGGCCCCAGGUCCUCCAGCUUUCCACCUCUGAGAUGACCUCGCAGACCUCCUCUUAUCAUCAAAGACCAGACACCUCCUUACCCUUCCAGACCUCCUCCUGUCUGUCCAUCUGCCUGGGUUCCUCCCUCCAAAGGCAGAGUGUUCAAACGGUGACGCAUCAUCAGUUCUCACAGACGCUUUCCAUCAGAAAUCCAUCAGAGUCUUCUUCAUACCUGCCCAGCCAGAGCCCUUUGUUUUCCCAGCAGAAGGCUUUGGAGUCAGAAGCAUCCAUCUGUGGAAAAGAGAGAUCCCCCUUCUAUCAUCAAGAAAGAGUUCUCCAAUCUACACUCCCCAGAAAGUAAGAAACUAAAAGUAACUGACCUUUAUCUAAAAAAACGAUUUUAGUAGAAUUUAGACACUGUAAAUUUUUGUCAAUGAAUAUAGUCUUUAAUUCUUUUGCUCAUUUGCUGCCGUUUUCUGUCUUUUUUCAAAGUUCUCCUAGAAUAAUGGAGCCAUCUUUCACUUUUGGAAAGUUCUCAAAUGAGAUAUUUGGUGAGAUGUGGUCUUCCACACCAAAACAUCUACCAUUCGUCUUUCGAGAGUCAGACCAACCAUCAGAUGAAAAGAACCACACUAUAGAGAAAACAGACAUCCCUGUUGCUUCAUUCAGUCCAAGAAAGUGGAAACAGUCUAACCCUGCUAAAGAAACAGCUCCUAGAACAGAAGAAGUACACUUCCAGAUGUCUGGGUCUAAAGCUUUUGAACUGGAAAAUACUAUUUGGAAUGUUCGUGAAGCUGAGGAGAGGAGCCACACAUUGUUGGAGUCUGGAUCUACACUUGUUCAGCUGGAGGACAGCAAUGAGUGUUAUCCAAAAAAACAGUCAAUGGGAGAUGAAUGUGGGAACAGAGCAGUGUUAAGCUCUCAACUGAGGGUGGAGAGUGGACAGAUCCAAUCUUCUGAUAUCCAGCUGCCAACGAAAAGGUGCGAGAAAAACUGUGAAGAAUUACAGCCGACAGACACAGAGACAGGAAAGACGAGACCGGACAGAGAUGGUCAACCUUCCUGUUAUGAACAGAGGAGUCACUCUGCAGAGGUUUCAGAUGGAGAUCGAUGGCUCAUGCCAGCCUUGUCCCAGGUGUGUGGGACAGAACCAUCAGCAUGCAGAGCUCCAUGUCUCCUUGACAACCAACUGCACCGUGCCAAUGAACAAGUGAGUUUCUAUGGAGAAGAAGGUGGAUGACUUUAGUGUGUCAGCAAUCUAGAAGUUAAGAUUGUAGUGCCAGCAGAGUUCAAUAAG
This 1371-nucleotide long non-coding RNA is filed under the name Oryzias javanicus (javanese ricefish). RNAcentral's name for it is "lncRNA (ENSOJAG00000002819.1)". The record is from RNAcentral. Lineage: Eukaryota; Metazoa; Chordata; Actinopteri; Beloniformes; Adrianichthyidae.